AGAGAAGCGAUGCGGCGACGCAGAGCGGAACUUCAAAGCCUGUCUCAGUUCGGAUUGGAGUCCGCAACCCGACUCCAUGAAGCUGGAUUCGCUAGUAAUCGCGCAUCAGCCACGGCGCGGUGAAUACGUUCCCGGGCCUUGUACACACCGCCCGUCAAGCCAUGGAAGCCGGGAGUGCCUGAAGUGUGCAACCGCAAGGAGCGCCCUAAGGUAAAACCGGUGACUGGGGCUAAGUCGUAACAAGGUAUC
Molecule: ribosomal RNA, 249 nt
Filed under: uncultured bacterium
Lineage: Bacteria
Description: partial 16S ribosomal RNA
Rfam family: Bacterial small subunit ribosomal RNA
Source: RNAcentral